GGUCAGAGGGUGACCGUGGAAAUUUAGCGGCAAAGUUAGUUUCUCGCGAAAGACGCUUCUUAAAACAUGGAGAGUAAAUGGUGGAGCGGUGGAGGAGCAAAGAUAAAGGCGAAAAAAGAAAAGGGAUUCAGAGAAACUGAAAUUCAGACAAACAUAUCGUCUAUCUAGACUUUUUCCAAAAGUCGGCUACUCGGCUUGCUAGCAUUAGCAGAGCCAGAGGAGGUCUAUGCUAACGUCGCAGAACAUGAACAACAUGAGCUCAGCUGGAUAUCAGCAUGAAACAGAGGCAGAGAGCCACAGCCCUGCGACAGACACCUGUCCACUUGGCCCACCGUCAUCUCCAGCUGAAUAAGAGUCGGACCUUGUCAGGAUUUAAAUGAUGUAGUGGAGGAGUCUUUGACAUGAGAAGCCUGACAGGACUGUAUACCUAGGCAAUGGCUUCCACAAGUUCACCUGGCACUCCCGAAACGCAGGUAAGUCUGCUUCUCUCUGCCGCUGUUUUUUUUCUCCCCCACAUAG
Molecule: long non-coding RNA, 519 nt
Organism: Seriola aureovittata
Lineage: Eukaryota; Metazoa; Chordata; Actinopteri; Carangiformes; Carangidae
Exons: 3
Source: RefSeq, a predicted model, not a curated record